ACUAUUUUGGCAGAAAAAUGUAAUGGUUUUAGAAGCCAAAAAUAUAUGAGUUUAAUUAUAUAGAUAGUA
Molecule: transfer RNA, 69 nt
Filed under: Micromelalopha sieversi
Lineage: Eukaryota; Metazoa; Arthropoda; Insecta; Lepidoptera; Notodontidae
Description: tRNA-Leu
Source: RNAcentral